AAAUUGAAGAGUUUGAUCAUGGCUCAGAUUGAACGCUGGCGGCAGGCCUAACACAUGCAAGUCGAACGGUAACAGGAAGCAGCUUGCUGCUUUGCUGACGAGUGGCGGACGGGUGAGUAAUGUCUGGGAAACUGCCUGAUGGAGGGGGAUAACUACUGGAAACGGUGGCUAAUACCGCAUAACGUCGCAAGACCAAAGAGGGGGACCUUCGGGCCUCUUGCCAUCAGAUGUGCCCAGAUGGGAUUAGCUUGUUGGUGAGGUAACGGCUCACCAAGGCGACGAUCCCUAGCUGGUCUGAGAGGAUGACCAGCCACACUGGAACUGAGACACGGUCCAGACUCCUACGGGAGGCAGCAGUGGGGAAUAUUGCACAAUGGGCGCAAGCCUGAUGCAGCSAUGCCGCGUGUAUGAAGAAGGCCUUCGGGUUGUAAAGUACUUUCAGCGGGGAGGAAGGUGUUGUGGUUAAUAACCGCAGCAAUUGACGUUACCCGCAGAAGAAGCACCGGCUAACUCCGUGCCAGCAGCCGCGGUAAUACGGAGGGUGCAAGCGUUAAUCGGAAUUACUGGGCGUAAAGCGCACGCAGGCGGUCUGUCAAGUCGGAUGUGAAAUCCCCGGGCUCAACCUGGGAACUGCAUUCGAAACUGGCAGGCUUGAGUCUUGUAGAGGGGGGUAGAAUUCCAGGUGUAGCGGUGAAAUGCGUAGAGAUCUGGAGGAAUACCGGUGGCGAAGGCGGCCCCCUGGACAAAGACUGACGCUCAGGUGCGAAAGCGUGGGGAGCAAACAGGAUUAGAUACCCUGGUAGUCCACGCCGUAAACGAUGUCUACUUGGAGGUUGUGCCCUUGAGGCGUGGCUUCCGGAGCUAACGCGUUAAGUAGACCGCCUGGGGAGUACGGCCGCAAGGUUAAAACUCAAAUGAAUUGACGGGGGCCCGCACAAGCGGUGGAGCAUGUGGUUUAAUUCGAUGCAACGCGAAGAACCUUACCUGGUCUUGACAUCCACAGAACUUUCCAGAGAUGGAUUGGUGCCUUCGGGAACUGUGAGACAGGUGCUGCAUGGCUGUCGUCAGCUCGUGUUGUGAAAUGUUGGGUUAAGUCCCGCAACGAGCGCAACCCUUAUCCUUUGUUGCCAGCGGUCCGGCCGGGAACUCAAAGGAGACUGCCAGUGAUAAACUGGAGGAAGGUGGGGAUGACGUCAAGUCAUCAUGGCCCUUACGACCAGGGCUACACACGUGCUACAAUGGCGCAUACAAAGAGAAGCGACCUCGYGAGAGCAAGCGGACCUCAUAAAGUGCGUCGUAGUCCGGAUUGGAGUCUGCAACUCGACUCCAUGAAGUCGGAAUCGCUAGUAAUCGUGGAUCAGAAUGCCACGGUGAAUACGUUCCCGGGCCUUGUACACACCGCCCGUCACACCAUGGGAGUGGGUUGCAAAAGAAGUAGGUAGCUUAACCUUCGGG
This 1455-nucleotide ribosomal RNA is filed under the name Salmonella enterica subsp. enterica serovar Typhi. RNAcentral describes it as "bacterial SSU rRNA". The record is from RNAcentral. Lineage: Bacteria; Pseudomonadati; Pseudomonadota; Gammaproteobacteria; Enterobacterales; Enterobacteriaceae.